RNAcentral lists this ribosomal RNA (497 nucleotides) under uncultured bacterium. RNAcentral's name for it is "partial 16S ribosomal RNA". It matches the Rfam family "Bacterial small subunit ribosomal RNA", at positions 28 to 507 of the family's 1533-position model. The record is from RNAcentral.
GAUGAACGCUGGCGGCGUGCCUAAUACAUGCAAGUCGAGCGAACAGAUGAGGAGCUUGCUCCUCUGACGUUAGCGGCGGACGGGUGAGUAACACGUGGAUAACCUACCUAUAAGACUGGGAUAACUUCGGGAAACCGGAGCUAAUACCGGAUAAUAUCUUGAACCGCAUGGUUCAAUAGUGAAAGACGGUUUUGCUUUCACUUAUAGAUGGAUCCGCGCUGCAUUAGCUAGUUGGUAAGGUAACGGCUUACCAAGGCAACGAUGCGUAGCCGACCUGAGAGGGGGAUCGGCCACACUGGAACGGAGACACGGUCCAGACUCCUACGGGAGGCAGCAGUAGGGAAUCUUCCGCAAUGGGCGAAAGCCUGACGGAGCAACGCCGCGUGAGUGAUGAAGGUCUUCGGAUCGUAAAACUCUGUUAUUAGGGAAGAACAAAUGUGUAAGUAACUGUGCACGUCUUGACGGUACCUAAUCAGAAAGCCACGGCUAACUACGUG